Molecule: unclassified non-coding RNA, 764 nt
Filed under: Hevea brasiliensis (rubber tree)
Lineage: Eukaryota; Viridiplantae; Streptophyta; Magnoliopsida; Malpighiales; Euphorbiaceae
Source: RNAcentral
CUCGUAUUUUCUAACUUGCUUGCUCAUUGAUCAAGAUUAAUAAUUAAUAAUAUCUGAAAGCUUCUUCUUCAUAUUCAUCAAUGGCAUUUACAAUAUAAGAACAAAUUAGAGCAAACCUCAUGAAAAACCUCAAGUAUAAUUCCGUGAUUAUCUUGAGAGUUCAUUGAAAUGUAAUAGUUUAAGAGGCUGCGAAGAUCUUUGGGCUCUUGUAGCCUAUUUGCCAAUAUCACCUCAACCAUUGACUCUCUAAAAUCUUCUCUCGGAUCAUAAGAGCUCUUCUCCAUUGCCACCAUUACUACAAAUUUGAUCCCUUCAUUUCUUAGCCUUCUUCUCUCUUUAUGUCUUGCCUCCAGCUGCUGUUUUUCCCUAAUCAUUUGGCCUAGUCUUUCUUGAACCAUGGCAUGCGCUAGGCUUGAGAUGGAAGCAUACCUGUCAGAAGCUGAUGAGCUCUCUGCAGCUUCCUCAGAAGAAGAGACACUAAGCCUGCAACUGCAACACAAGGCCCUGCAUCCUCUCUGUUGAAGCUUCUGCUGCUUCUUGUAUUCCCUGGAGGAUUUCAUCCUGAAUCAAUUUGAACAUGGAGAUCUUUGAAGGGAAAUUUGUGCAAAAACUAAUCAUUUAUGCACAAUUGGCAAGUGGGGUUAGUUUAAAGCAUGAUUGUGUCUUGAGUUUACAAGCAUAAACAUAUAAUUAAUUAAUGAGAUUAGGUUAGUUGAGAAAGAAAGGAAGGCAAAUGGGGGACAUUGGCAUAUUGUUAAUUUGAG